CAGAGUGUAGCUAAACCAGAAUAGCAUCUCCCUUACACUGAGAAGAUCCCCGUGCAAAUCGGGUCGCCCUGAA
RNAcentral lists this transfer RNA (73 nucleotides) under Atherinops affinis (topsmelt silverside). RNAcentral describes it as "tRNA-Val". It matches the Rfam family "tRNA". Rfam says of the family: Transfer RNA (tRNA) molecules are approximately 80 nucleotides in length. Their secondary structure includes four short double-helical elements and three loops (D, anti-codon, and T loops). Further hydrogen bonds mediate the characteristic L-shaped molecular structure. tRNAs have two regions of fundamental functional importance: the anti-codon, which is responsible for specific mRNA codon recognition, and the 3' end, to which the tRNAs corresponding amino acid is attached (by aminoacyl-tRNA synthetases). tRNAs cope with the degeneracy of the genetic code in two manners: having more than one tRNA (with a specific anti-codon) for a particular amino acid; and 'wobble' base-pairing, i.e. permitting non-standard base-pairing at the 3rd anti-codon position. Lineage: Eukaryota; Metazoa; Chordata; Actinopteri; Atheriniformes; Atherinopsidae. The record is from RNAcentral.